This 307-nucleotide long non-coding RNA is filed under the name Trifolium pratense (red clover). RNAcentral's name for it is "long non-coding RNA (TPRA_LNC010671)". Lineage: Eukaryota; Viridiplantae; Streptophyta; Magnoliopsida; Fabales; Fabaceae. The record is from RNAcentral.
ACAGGAUUUUGUGGUAUUCGAUGUUGAGUCGUCGGUGAAGCUCCGCUCUGAUUGUGACACGGGAAAUGGUUUUAUAUUGUAUAUAAAGUCUAUUGUCUAGGUUGUUUUUGUAUAAUCAAUAAAUACAUUAGUUGAUUUAACAUUUGUAUAAACAAGUAUUUUUACUAAUUAACUACAUUAGCAUUAUUUUGAUUGAAGAAUGUAAUACUCGAACCACAACUUUUAUAAUAUCGAACAUUACUUUCCGUUGCGUAUUUUGAAAAAGAUUUUUUACUAAGGUAGAAAUAUAGAAAUAAUGGGUUUGGGU